Molecule: ribosomal RNA, 253 nt
Filed under: uncultured Eubacteriales bacterium
Lineage: Bacteria; Bacillati; Bacillota; Clostridia; Eubacteriales
Description: uncultured Clostridiales bacterium partial 16S ribosomal RNA
Rfam family: Bacterial small subunit ribosomal RNA
Source: RNAcentral
UACGUAGGAGGCAAGCGUUAUCCGGAAUGACUGGGCGUAAAGGGUGCGUAGGUGGUUCAGCAAGUUAGUAGCGUAACUCCGGGGCUCAACCUCGGCACUACUACUAAAACUGUUGGACUUGAGUGCAGGAGGGGCAACUGGAAUUCCUAGUGUAGCGGUGGAAUGCGUAGAUAUUAGGAGGAACACCGGCGGCGAAGGCGGCCUGCUGGACCGCGACUGACGUUGAGGCUCGAAAGCGUGGGGAGCGAACAGG